Molecule: long non-coding RNA, 1401 nt
Organism: Actinia tenebrosa (Australian red waratah sea anemone)
Lineage: Eukaryota; Metazoa; Cnidaria; Anthozoa; Actiniaria; Actiniidae
Source: RefSeq, a predicted model, not a curated record
UACACGGUACGACAUGCCGCAACAUUUAAAUGGCUUCCCAUAAGAAUGGUUAUCGGAUCAGUGAGAAACGUCUAGUAUUUACUUACAGCACGUACACGGUACGACAUGCCGUAAUGUAAUAUGGAAGUCGAACACUGCAAGGUUAAAGAACGUAAAUGGGCCAAGAGUGACGGUGAAGAUCAACUGGAAACAAACAAAUGAUAGUGGUAAGACAGGUCUACAGCAAAUACAACUGCUAGUAAAGUAAACAUAAAAGAAAUGUAAGCAGAAAGACUGACUGACAGACACAGCAGCAAGCAAGCAAACGCCGAACGACUGAUAGACAGAGAAGCAAGUGAGCAAAUAUCGACCGACUGACAGAUACAAAAGCAAGCUAACAAACGACAGACAGACAGAGAAACAAGCAGCAAACAUCGACAGACAGAGAGACACAGAAGCAAGUGAGUAAAUGCCGUUGACCGACUAACAGACACAAAUGCAAGCAAGAAAACGCUGACUGAAUGAAAGACACAGAAGCAAGUGAGCAAACAAAUGACAGACAGAUGGAGAAGCUGGAAAGCAAAAGACCCAAUGACAGACAACCAUCAGAGAAUGAAAGCAAACAAGCAAUCCACAGGCAGCUAGACAUAUCAGCAGACACGCACAGACAGGCACAUUUAUCAAAUUAUCUUGAAACUAUUAGUAAUUCUACAGAUCUCACCAAAUAUAUCCUAUAGACAUUGCCUUUAGUAAUCUGACCCCAGCACUCAUCAUCAGUUUUAUUGGAUUUAGAGAUGUUACCUACAUGGGACUGGUUCAUUGUUUGGUGUGAAUCAGAAUGAGGCAUUAUGCUAAAGAAAUAAAGAAAAACACUUGUCUAGUCAACAAUAUCAGAUCUACAGCUAUAAAAUAUAGACCAAUUCGGCUAAUGCAAUAUUAUUUACAUAUCUUAUUCAUAUCAGUGGUUCAUUGACAUGUAAAAAAGUAUUCCCAGUAGUAAUUCUCUUGAGAAUCAUUCCUUUGUUUAUUUGCUGAUAAAUAUUUUAUUGGACUCAAGAUUCAUGUGAUAUGGGUUUUCUCAUGAAAUUCAACAUGGAAUUCCCUUGUCAGCCCAUGAAUUUCACUUUAGAAUUCUUUCUGGCUGACAGCACAUGGUGGUCAGUGUUUGGCCACCAUUUGGAGCAGAUAAAUGAGAUUCAAAGACUUACAUAUCAAAACGAUAUGUUGAAUGUGCACUAUAUUAAUAAUCAUUAUUAACUAUCAUUACUUGAAUGUACAUACCAAGAAACUAAGGUCAGAGACUUGGGCACUGCGGCAGCAUAAAUGGCUAAGUCACCAUAAAGAUAGAGACCAAUGCACAAAUAGAACAACCUCAGACCAUCUUGAAGAGAAAAUUACAAAUAAUAAAUUAAUAAAAACUAA